Molecule: long non-coding RNA, 342 nt
Organism: Egretta garzetta (little egret)
Lineage: Eukaryota; Metazoa; Chordata; Aves; Pelecaniformes; Ardeidae
Exons: 3
Source: RefSeq, a predicted model, not a curated record
GGAGCGGGGAGGCUUAGGAGGAACGGGGAGGCUUAGGAGGAACGGGGACGUUUAGGAGGGCAUGUUUAGGAGGAGCAGCAGGUUUAGGAGGAGUCGGCAGGUUUAGGAGGAGUCGGCAGGUUUAGGAGGAGUCGGCAGGUUUAGGAGGAGUCGGCAGGUUUAGGAGGGGAGGUUUAAGAGGAGCUGGCAGGUUUAGGAGGAGCCACAGCAGCAGGCAGGCUUAGGAGGAGCAGGCAGGUUUAGGAGGGGAUGUUUAGGAGGAGCUGCAGGUUUAGGAGGAGCAGCAGCAGCAGGCAGGCCUCUGCUCCUUAAUUAAGCCCUAACGAUGCCGCGCCCUCUCUC